GUGGAUUAGAUACCCUGGUAGUCCACGCCGUAAACGUUGGGCGCUAGGUGUGGGGCUCUUUCCACGAGUUCCGUGCCGCAGCUAACGCAUUAAGCGCCCCGCCUGGGGAGUACGGCCGCAAGGCUAAAACUCAAAGGAAUUGACGGGGGCCCGCACAAGCGGCGGAGCAUGCGGAUUAAUUCGAUGCAACGCGAAGAACCUUACCAAGGCUUGACAUGGGGCGAAAACUGGUAGAGAUAUCAGGUCCGUAAGGGCGCCUCACAGGUGGUGCAUGGCCGUCGUCAACU
Molecule: ribosomal RNA, 287 nt
Filed under: uncultured bacterium
Lineage: Bacteria
Description: partial 16S ribosomal RNA
Rfam family: Bacterial small subunit ribosomal RNA
Source: RNAcentral